Molecule: ribosomal RNA, 2893 nt
Filed under: Campylobacter coli
Lineage: Bacteria; Pseudomonadati; Campylobacterota; Epsilonproteobacteria; Campylobacterales; Campylobacteraceae
Description: bacterial LSU rRNA
Rfam family: Bacterial large subunit ribosomal RNA
Source: RNAcentral
AGAGCGAAUGGUGGAUGCCUUGACUGGUAAAGGCGAUGAAGGACGUACUAGACUGCGAUAAGCUACGGGGAGCUGUCAAGAAGCUUUGAUCCGUAGAUUUCCGAAUGGGGCAACCCAAUGUAUAGAGAUAUACAUUACCUAUAUAGGAGCGAACGAGGGGAAUUGAAACAUCUUAGUACCCUCAGGAAAAGAAAUCAAUAGAGAUUGCGUCAGUAGCGGCGAGCGAAAGCGCAAGAGGGCAAACCCAGUGCUUGCACUGGGGGUUGUAGGACUGCAAUGUGCAAGAGGUGAGUUUAGCAGAACAUUCUGGAAAGUAUAGCCAUAGAGGGUGAUAGUCCCGUAUGCGAAAAACAAACCUUAGCUAGCAGUAUCCUGAGUAGGGCGGGACACGAGAAAUCCUGUCUGAAGCUGGGUCGACCACGAUCCAACCCUAAAUACUAAUACCAGAUCGAUAGUGCACAAGUACCGUGAGGGAAAGGUGAAAAGAACUGAGGUGAUCAGAGUGAAAUAGAACCUGAAACCAUUUGCUUACAAUCAUUCAGAGCACUAUGUAGCAAUACAGUGUGAUGGACUGCCUUUUGCAUAAUGAGCCUGCGAGUUGUGGUGUCUGGCAAGGUUAAGCAAACGCGAAGCCGUAGCGAAAGCGAGUCUGAAUAGGGCGCUUAGUCAGAUGCUGCAGACCCGAAACGAAGUGAUCUAUCCAUGAGCAAGUUGAAGCUAGUGUAAGAACUAGUGGAGGACUGAACCCAUAGGCGUUGAAAAGCCCCGGGAUGACUUGUGGAUAGGGGUGAAAGGCCAAUCAAACUUCGUGAUAGCUGGUUCUCUCCGAAAUAUAUUUAGGUAUAGCGUUGUGUCGUAAUAUAAGGGGGUAGAGCACUGAAUGGGCUAGGGCAUACACCAAUGUACCAAACCCUAUCAAACUCCGAAUACCUUAUAUGUAAUCACAGCAGUCAGGCGGCGAGUGAUAAAAUCCGUCGUCAAGAGGGAAACAACCCAGACUACCAGCUAAGGUCCCUAAAUCUUACUUAAGUGGAAAACGAUGUGAAGUUACUUAAACAACCAGGAGGUUGGCUUAGAAGCAGCCAUCCUUUAAAGAAAGCGUAAUAGCUCACUGGUCUAGUGAUUUUGCGCGGAAAAUAUAACGGGGCUAAAGUAAGUACCGAAGCUGUAGACUUGACUUUGUCAAGUGGUAGGAGAGCGUUCUAUUUGCGUCGAAGGUAUACCGGUAAGGAGUGCUGGAGCGAAUAGAAGUGAGCAUGCAGGCAUGAGUAGCGAUAAUUAAUGUGAGAAUCAUUAACGCCGUAAACCCAAGGUUUCCUACGCGAUGCUCGUCAUCGUAGGGUUAGUCGGGUCCUAAGUCGAGUCCGAAAGGGGUAGACGAUGGCAAAUUGGUUAAUAUUCCAAUACCAACAUUAGUGUGCGAUGGAAGGACGCUUAGGGCUAAGGGGGCUAGCGGAUGGAAGUGCUAGUCUAAGGUCGUAGGUGCUUAUACAGGCAAAUCCGUAUAAGAAUACACCGAGAACUGAAAGGCUUUUUGAAGUCUUCGGAUGGAUAGAAGAACCCCUGAUGCCGUCGAGCCAAGAAAAGUUUCUAAGUUUAGCUAAUGUUGCCCGUACCGUAAACCGACACAGGUGGGUGGGAUGAGUAUUCUAAGGCGCGUGGAAGAACUCUCUUUAAGGAACUCUGCAAAAUAGCACCGUAUCUUCGGUAUAAGGUGUGGUUCGCUUCGUAUUAGGAUUUACUCCGAAAGCGAAGAAACUUACAACAAAGAGUCCCUCCCGACUGUUUACCAAAAACACAGCACUCUGCUAACUCGUAAGAGGAUGUAUAGGGUGUGACGCCUGCCCGGUGCUCGAAGGUUAAUUGAUGGGGUUAGCAUUAGCGAAGCUCUUGAUCGAAGCCCGAGUAAACGGCGGCCGUAACUAUAACGGUCCUAAGGUAGCGAAAUUCCUUGUCGGUUAAAUACCGACCUGCAUGAAUGGCGUAACGAGAUGGGAGCUGUCUCAAAGAGGGAUCCAGUGAAAUUGUAGUGGAGGUGAAAAUUCCUCCUACCCGCGGCAAGACGGAAAGACCCCGUGGACCUUUACUACAGCUUGACACUGCUAUUUGGAUAAGAAUGUGCAGGAUAGGUGGGAGGCUUUGAGUAUAUGACGCCAGUUGUAUAUGAGCCAUUGUUGAGAUACCACUCUUUCUUAUUUGGGUAGCUAACCAGCUUGAGUUAUCCUCAAGUGGGACAAUGUCUGGUGGGUAGUUUGACUGGGGCGGUCGCCUCCCAAAUAAUAACGGAGGCUUACAAAGGUUGGCUCAGAACGGUUGGAAAUCGUUCGUAGAGUAUAAAGGUAUAAGCCAGCUUAACUGCAAGACAUACAAGUCAAGCAGAGACGAAAGUCGGUCUUAGUGAUCCGGUGGUUCUGUGUGGAAGGGCCAUCGCUCAAAGGAUAAAAGGUACCCCGGGGAUAACAGGCUGAUCUCCCCCAAGAGCUCACAUCGACGGGGAGGUUUGGCACCUCGAUGUCGGCUCAUCGCAUCCUGGGGCUGGAGCAGGUCCCAAGGGUAUGGCUGUUCGCCAUUUAAAGCGGUACGCGAGCUGGGUUCAGAACGUCGUGAGACAGUUCGGUCCCUAUCUGCCGUGGGCGUAAGAAGAUUGAAGAGAUUUGACCCUAGUACGAGAGGACCGGGUUGAACAAACCACUGGUGUAGCUGUUGUUCUGCCAAGAGCAUCGCAGCGUAGCUAAGUUUGGAAAGGAUAAACGCUGAAAGCAUCUAAGCGUGAAGCCAACUCUAAGAUGAAUCUUCUCUAAGCUCUCUAGAAGACUACUAGUUUGAUAGGCUGGGUGUGUAAUGGAUGAAAGUCCUUUAGCUGACCAGUACUAAUAGAGCGUUUGGCUUAUCU